UUGGAGGGCAAGUCUGGUGCCCGCAGCCGCAGUAAUUCCAGCUCUAAUAGCGUAUAUUAAAGUUGUUGCUGUUAAAAAGCUCGUAGUUGAAUUUCGGGAUCAAUAUGUCGGUCGUGCCUCCGGUACGUACUGGCGUCAUUGGUUUCUCCCUUCUGAUGAACCACGAUGUCAUUAAUUUGGUGUCAUGGGGAAUCAGGACUGUUACUUUGAAAAAAUUAGAGUGUUUAAAGCAGGCUCACGCUUGAAUACAUUAGCAUGGAAUAAUGAAAUAGGACGUUUGAUUCUAUUUUGUUGGUUUCUAGGAUCGACGUAAUGAUUAAUAGGGAUAGUUGGGGGCAUUAGUAUUCAAUUGUCAGAGGUGAAAUUCUUGGAUUUACUGAAGACUAACUACUGCGAAAGCAUUUGCCAAGGAUGUUUUCAUUAAUCAGGAACGGAAGUUAGGGGAUCGAAGACGAUCAGAUACCGUCGUAGUCUUAACCAUAAACUAUGCCGACUAGGGAUCGGACGAUGUUAUUUUUUGACUCGUUCGGCACCUUACGGGAAAC
This 545-nucleotide ribosomal RNA is filed under the name uncultured Glomus. RNAcentral's name for it is "SSU rRNA". It matches the Rfam family "Eukaryotic small subunit ribosomal RNA", at positions 548 to 1098 of the family's 1831-position model. Lineage: Eukaryota; Fungi; Glomeromycota; Glomeromycetes; Glomerales; Glomeraceae. The record is from RNAcentral.